AAAACCCCCAAGAAGAAGAAAAAAU
This 25-nucleotide small RNA is filed under the name Arabidopsis thaliana (thale cress). RNAcentral's name for it is "ATSL006120". The record is from RNAcentral. Lineage: Eukaryota; Viridiplantae; Streptophyta; Magnoliopsida; Brassicales; Brassicaceae.